RNAcentral lists this ribosomal RNA (500 nucleotides) under uncultured Myrionecta. RNAcentral's name for it is "SSU rRNA". It matches the Rfam family "Eukaryotic small subunit ribosomal RNA", at positions 33 to 598 of the family's 1831-position model. Lineage: Eukaryota; Ciliophora; Litostomatea; Cyclotrichida; Mesodiniidae. The record is from RNAcentral.
GUUCUCAAGACUAAGCAUGCACGUCUAAGUACAAACUAAAUGAUGGUGAAACUGCAAAUGGCUCAUUACAACGGUUAUGAUGUACCCGGGAGUUCCGAUGGAUAUUUCCAGUAACACUAGAACUAAUACAUGUCCCUGCGUUUAUUAGUUUCGCACAGUCCGUCGCUGAGUCAUGGUAAACAGUUGAUCGACUCGACGUCCCGGAACAGUUUCCGCCCCAUCAGCUUCGAUGGUUGGGUAUUGGCCUACCAUUGCAACAACGGGUAACGAGGAAUUAGGGUUUGAUUUCGGAGAGGGAGCCUGAGAAACGGCUACCACAUCUACGGAUGGCAGCAGGCGCGCAAAUUACCCAAUGCAGACACUGUGAGGUAGUGACGAGAAAUAAUAAAGCGGGACUUCUGUUUCGCUAUUAUAAUGAGGAAUAACCAAAGGUCAUUCCGAUUAGCAACUGAUGGGAAAGUCUGGUGCCAGCAGCCGCGGUAAUACCAGCGUCAGUAGCA